RNAcentral lists this long non-coding RNA (209 nucleotides) under Solanum tuberosum (potato). RNAcentral's name for it is "long non-coding RNA (STUB_LNC009856)". The record is from RNAcentral. Lineage: Eukaryota; Viridiplantae; Streptophyta; Magnoliopsida; Solanales; Solanaceae.
AGCUUUUCAAACUCAAUAUUUUUAAUUGUUCUUACUUGUUUGAGUCAAACUGUUUGUGACAUAAACACUUGGGACAUGUCAAUUACAAAACCUUGUAAGGAAAACUGAUCAACUUAGAAGUUUUGUCUAACUUUGAGUGCAAUAAAUAAAAAAUGUCAAGUUUGUGUGAAAUCUAAGUAUGUUGAGCAUUCUUAUAAAUCUGUUGAAAG